GUGGGGAAUAUUGGACAAUGGGCGCAAGCCUGAUCCAGCAAUGCCGCGUGUGUGAAGAAGGUUUUCGGAUUGUAAAGCACUUUCGGCGGGGACGAUGAUGACGGUACCCGCAGAAGAAGCCCCGGCUAACUUCGUGCCAGCAGCCGCGGUAAUACGAAGGGGGCUAGCGUUGCUCGGAAUGACUGGGCGUAAAGGGCGCGUAGGCGGUUUGUACAGUCAGGUGUGAAAUUCCCGGGCUCAACCUGGGGGCUGCACUUGAUACGUAUGGACUUGAGUGGGGAAGAGGGUCGUGGAAUUCCCAGUGUAGAGGUGAAAUUCGUAGAUAUUGGGAAGAACACCGGUGGCGAAGGCGGCGACCUGGUCCUUGACUGACGCUGAGGCGCGAAAGCGUGGGGAGCAAACAGGAUUAGAAACCCUUGUAGUCC
This 425-nucleotide ribosomal RNA is filed under the name uncultured bacterium. RNAcentral describes it as "bacterial SSU rRNA". It matches the Rfam family "Bacterial small subunit ribosomal RNA", at positions 354 to 796 of the family's 1533-position model. The record is from RNAcentral.